AACAAAAUAAAAUCCAAUAAUAAGUGUCAGUCUAUUUACAAAUUACACUUCUGGCCCAAAAGUCCCAAUAAACUUAAUUACAUAGCCCAAAACAAAAAUAAAACAUCAGUCCAAUUAUUAAAGCUAACCCAAUUAAUAAAUACUCAUUACAAGCCCAGACCUAGACUAAACAUAACCUAAGCAAGCCCGAUAGGCCCAUCUCCUUAAUAGUUUUCAGAAAACCAUAGGGCAAAGGGUCCCUCGUGCCGCAAGCAGCCACCAGUGGCUUCACAUUUCACGCGCGCCACUCUGCGUCGACACGUCACCAUGAACGGCUUCUCCACGCCGUGCAUACCUGUAAAAUAGACUGCCAGCACACAAAUAACAACAGAUAACAACAAUACAGCAAAAAAUAAAGAUUUUUUAUUUAUUUUUCCAGAAUAUUCUUGAUGUAUUUUGGCUAUAAAAAGCCGUUGUAAGCACUAAAAUGGAGAUCACGAAAUAUUGAAAAAAGAAACUAGCAAUGAAAAACUAAGGUAAUUUCAGAUUUCAUUUUCUGGUGUUUCGAUUCAUUUUUUUCCUUUAUUUCUCCACAAAAUUCUUUCACAUUAGAAUAAAAUAGAAAAUAAGAGAUUUACCUUGCGAAUGUGCUAAGAGAUUCCCUCUUCUUCGUCGAAAUUGGGGCAUAGAAGAAAUCUAGAGGUCGAGUUGUUGUUCCUCGAAGCCCGAAUCUAUUGGUCACUGUUGGUAGGGGCCGAUCGGUGCUUAGGAGAGGAGAUUGGGGAUUCAGUUAAGGGGAAAUAAAAAAGGGGAUGCUAGGGUUUAGUUCAGCCGAAUUUGGCUUGUUUUUAGCCUUUAUAAAGGAGUAAAAACGGCGCCGUUUUGAGCCUUUCUCAAUGGCUCCAAAACUGUAUUGACCAUGACCGAUCCGGUUACCCUGGAGGAUCUGCGCGUUCUGCUUAAAGGGAAAAAUUGUGCCAUUGAUCCUUCUCUCUCGCAUGGUUAUUCAAUUAGGCCUUAAUUGUUUUUUUCUUUGUUUUUUUUAAUUUGUCCCUGAGAUUUGCACGUUAUUGUGAUUUAAUUUGUGCUUAAACACAGCGUUUUGAGAUUUGGUGUAUUUUGUAUUUUGAUCCUCAAUCAUUUGUGCGCAUACUAUUUCAAUCCUCAGCUUAGUUUUAAUGAUUUGUCUAUUUAUAAAUUAUCAUCCUCAGCUUAGUUUUAAUGAUUUGUCUAUUUAUAAAUUAUCCUUCCAAUUUUUU
This 1238-nucleotide long non-coding RNA is filed under the name Gossypium barbadense (sea-island cotton). Its description in RNAcentral is "long non-coding RNA (GBAR_LNC008180)". The record is from RNAcentral. Lineage: Eukaryota; Viridiplantae; Streptophyta; Magnoliopsida; Malvales; Malvaceae.